UGGGGAAUUUUGGACAAUGGGCGAAAGCCUGAUCCAGCAAUGCCGCGUGUGUGAAGAAGGCCUUCGGGUUGUAAAGCACUUUUGUCCGGAAAGAAAUCCUUGGCUCUAAUACAGUCGGGGGAUGACGGUACCGGAAGAAUAAGCACCGGCUAACUACGUGCCAGCAGCCGCGGUAAUACGUAGGGUGCAAGCGUUAAUCGGAAUUACUGGGCGUAAAGCGUGCGCAGGCGGUUUGCUAAGACCGAUGUGAAAUCCCCGGGCUCAACCUGGGAACUGCAUUGGUGACUGGCAGGCUAGAGUAUGGCAGAGGGGGGUAGAAUUCCACGUGUAGCAGUGAAAUGCGUAGAGAUGUGGAGGAAUACCGAUGGCGAAGGCAGCCCCCUGGGCCAAUACUGACGCUCAUGCACGAAAGCGUGGGGAGCAAAGCAGGAUUAGAUACCCUGGUAGUCCACGCCCUAAACGAUGUCAACUAGUUGUUGGGGAUUCAUUUCCUUAGUAACGUAGCUAACGCGUGAAGUUGACCGCCUGGGGAGUACGGUCGCAAGAUUAAAACUCAAAGGAAUUGACGGGGUCAUAGCUGUUUCC
Molecule: ribosomal RNA, 585 nt
Filed under: uncultured bacterium
Lineage: Bacteria
Description: partial 16S ribosomal RNA
Rfam family: Bacterial small subunit ribosomal RNA
Source: RNAcentral